RNAcentral lists this ribosomal RNA (303 nucleotides) under uncultured bacterium. RNAcentral's name for it is "partial 16S ribosomal RNA". It matches the Rfam family "Bacterial small subunit ribosomal RNA", at positions 510 to 808 of the family's 1533-position model. The record is from RNAcentral.
AGCAGUCGCGCGGUAAAACGGGGGGCGCGAGCGUUACCCGGAUUUACUGGGCGUAAAGGGCGUGUAGGCGGCCUGGGGCGUCCCAUGUGAAAGGCCACGGCUCAACCGUGGAGGAGCGUGGGAUACGCUCAGGCUAGAGGGUGGGAGAGGGUGGUGGAAUUCCCGGAGUAGCGGUGAAAUGCGCAGAUACCGGGAGGAACGCCGAUGGCGAAGGCAGCCACCUGGUACACUUCUGACGCUGAGGCGCGAAAGCGUGGGGAGCAAACCGGAUUAGAUACCCCGGUAGUCCCUGUCUCUUAUACA